ACUGUUUCUUUGAGUUUGAAUAGCCCACAAAUCUGAGUGUCGUUAGACUCAAACCAGGAGCUACCUGGGUGAAGAAGUUAAGUGAAACCAGCAUGGGUAGCCAGAGUUGCCAUUUGAGUGUCUGGAAUGAAAAGGGCUUCAUUCGUGCAUGCUUAAGUAAUUCAUCAAUUAUAAUGGAGAAGAGAAAAUAUGUGAAAUAGAACCACACAAGAGGAAAUAAACAUUCAACAGUAAGUUGGUACUGGAGGAUCUCCCUAUUUCACCUGUCAAAAGGCCAAUUUUCCCUGCUAAAAGAAAUCAGGGAAAGCCCCUAUCAGCUGGCAACUCAUACCAAAACACUGCUUAGGUGAGGGCGUGGGAUGAAGGUGUGGAGGUAAACCCUGACUUCUUCCCCACUAUAUCGAGGGUCAUCUUUCUGGCCUGGUGCUGAGUGGGUGGGCUUUCGUUGCCUACUGUGGCUUCAAGGACUGUUUCUGGAAUCUUCCAGGUUUAAGGCCAGCAGGGUUGCAUGACAGCAGAAGCAGUUUCCAGUGGUUUCUUGGCUUUCAGCUGCUUCCCUGUUUGCUCUUUUGUUAUGGCUACUAGUUUAAAACUCCUCCUCUGUUUAUUUGUUUGUCAGUAGGUAUAUGAGAUGAAGUCAGCCCUCAGCCAGGCUCUGCCUUGGAGGACUCUGCAAGGAAAGGGGUCACUUUACCUGUUUUGACCCCACUGGGUGGACUCCCUCUCUUGGGUGCAAUAACUUGGAUAGAUUGGGCCUCACCUUCAGACCUCAGUUACUCCACAGGAGCAUCUAGACAGCCAGGACCCUUCGUGUCCCAACCCAACGGUGAGUCCAACUCGUGUGCUCUGGAUUUGCGUUCAUCCAUAGCACAGUAGAUUUGAUGGUUAUUUUUCCUG
Molecule: long non-coding RNA, 897 nt
Filed under: Callithrix jacchus (white-tufted-ear marmoset)
Lineage: Eukaryota; Metazoa; Chordata; Mammalia; Primates; Cebidae
Description: lncRNA (ENSCJAG00000078620.1)
Source: RNAcentral